GUGCUCGCUUCGGCAGCACGUAUACUAAAAUUGGAACAAUAGAAAGAUUAGCAUGACCCCUGCGCAAGGAUGACAUGCAAAUUCGUGAAAGCAGUCCAUAUUUU
RNAcentral lists this small nuclear RNA (104 nucleotides) under Balaenoptera musculus (blue whale). Lineage: Eukaryota; Metazoa; Chordata; Mammalia; Artiodactyla; Balaenopteridae. The record is from RNAcentral.